This 412-nucleotide ribosomal RNA is filed under the name uncultured prokaryote. RNAcentral's name for it is "bacterial SSU rRNA". It matches the Rfam family "Bacterial small subunit ribosomal RNA", at positions 505 to 918 of the family's 1533-position model. The record is from RNAcentral.
GUGCCAGCCGCCGCGGUAAUACGUAUGGGGCAAGCGUUGUUCGGAUUCACUGGGCGUAAAGGGCUUGUAGGUGGUGGAGUAAGUCGGAUGUGAAAUCCCCGGGCUUAACCCGGGAACUGCAUUCGAAACUAUUCCGCUAGAGUACCGGAGAGGGAAACGGAAUUCCUGGUGUAGGGGUGAAAUCUGUAGAUAUCAGGAAGAACACCGGUGGCGAAGGCGGUUUCCUGGCCGGAUACUGACACUGAGGAGCGAAAGCUAGGGGAGCAAACAGGAUUAGAUACCCUGGUAGUCCUAGCUGUAAACGUUGUGCACUAGGUGUGAGUGGUUUACCCACUUGUGCCGAAGCUAACGCAUUAAGUGCACCGCCUGGGGAGUAUGCUCGCAAGGGUGAAACUCAAAGGAAUUGACGGGG